RNAcentral lists this ribosomal RNA (492 nucleotides) under uncultured bacterium. RNAcentral describes it as "partial 16S ribosomal RNA". It matches the Rfam family "Bacterial small subunit ribosomal RNA", at positions 29 to 507 of the family's 1533-position model. The record is from RNAcentral.
AGUGAACGCUGGCGGUAGGCCUAACACAUGCAAGUCGAACGGCAGCACAGUAAGAGCUUGCUCUUACGGGUGGCGAGUGGCGGACGGGUGCGGAAUACAUCGGAAUCUACUUUUUCGUGGGGGAUAACGUAGGGAAACUUACGCUAAUACCGCAUACGACCUACGGGUGAAAGCAGGGGAUCUUCGGACCUUGCGCGAUUGAAUGAGCCGAUGUCGGAUUAGCUAGUUGGCGGGGUAAAGGCCCACCAAGGCGACGAUCCGUAGCUGGUCUGAGAGGAUGAUCAGCCACAUUGGAACUGAGACACGGUCCAGACUCCUACGGGAGGCAGCAGUGGGGAAUAUUGGACAAUGGGCGCAAGCCUGAUCCAGCCAUACCGCGUGGGUGAAGAAGGCCUUCGGGUUGUAAAGCCCUUUUGUUGGGAAAGAAAAGCAGCAGGUUAAUACCCCGCUGUUCUGACGGUACCCAAAGAAUAAGCACCGGCUAACUUCGUG